GGUGCCAUAGCUCAGUUGGUAGAGCAAAGGACUGAUAAUCCUUGUGUCCCCGUUUCGAUUCCUGGUGGCACCA
Molecule: transfer RNA, 73 nt
Filed under: Bacteroidaceae bacterium
Lineage: Bacteria; Pseudomonadati; Bacteroidota; Bacteroidia; Bacteroidales; Bacteroidaceae
Description: tRNA-Ile
Rfam family: tRNA
About the family: Transfer RNA (tRNA) molecules are approximately 80 nucleotides in length. Their secondary structure includes four short double-helical elements and three loops (D, anti-codon, and T loops).
Source: RNAcentral